CUGAUUUCUGGUCACAGGAGUAAUGCCCACUUUCCCACCCUUGCCUCCCCAUCCCCAUGAGCACAGUCAGGCCUGAAUGCAAAGCCUGAUGUUGCCACCGCUAAUGCUAUGACCUUGGGAACAUUACUCACAUUUCCUGAGCCUCAAGGCCUUGUUCUAUAACACGAGCAUAAUAAAAUGUCAGCGGUUGUUAUGAGAUUUAAAUAAGAUUAAGGAAGUGUUACGGUUGUGUUCAGCAUGUUGCCUGGCAGAUAACUAAAGAUUCAACAAAUGGUAGCUAAUCUUGUCAGUCCUGGCUUUUAAAAACAUCUUUCCCAGCCAUUUCUUAGGCCGUCUAGUUUCUUAUCAUAAAUACACAGCCAGUUGAGAAUUGAGUUACAUCUUAAGAGGAAAUUUGGGACAGUAAGUAAUCUUGCCAAUAGUGCUGGUCUGCCAUCUUAAAUUUGUGUCUCUUCCUCAAUGCCCUUAUCCUCCUAAAAAAAAAAAAAGAGAAUAUUUUUGCUCUGCCAUGUCUCCUAUUCAUCCUCCUUAGAGGGAUGGGGUAGAACAUAGUUUGGAGAUGAGACUGCCUCAUCUUUCUCUAGCUCCUCAUAGAGCUCAUGUCCUUGCUGUCAAGGAAGAUGGCGGGGAGUAGUACUUCCCUGGAGUGUAGAUGUGGUUGAAGCUGCACCCUGUCCCCUCUUCCAGGGCCCCCUGAUGUGCCACACUACUAAGAUGUACAGCACAGAUGAUGGAGUCCAGUUUCACGCCUUUGGCCGGGUGCUGAGUGGCACCAUUCAUGCUGGGCAGCCUGUGAAGGUACUGGGGGAGAACUACACCCUGGAGGAUGAGGAAGACUCCCAGAUAUGCACCGUGGGCCGCCUUUGGAUCUCUGUGGCCAGGUACCACAUCGAGGUGAACCGUGUUCCUGCUGGCAACUGGGUUCUGAUUGAAGGUGUUGAUCAACCAAUUGUGAAGACAGCAACCAUAACCGAACCCCGAGGCAAUGAGGAGGUAGAGUUUCUGAAGAGACCAACUGGGUUGGCUUAAGCUAGAUGGUCCCAGGGACACACGUGAGCACAAACAGGGGACUAAUCCAGAGUCAUUGCCAUGUCCUGGUUUCAGGCUUAGCCUUCUAGAUAUGACCCUGCUGGAUUCUCCCUGUACUCAGUUGAGAUGCGAGGAAUUAGGACGGGUGCCUUUUAUUCUUUUCCUCCUCUCUUUGUUCUGCCAGAAUACCUGGGAAGAAAUGGCCCUUCAGGUUACCCCCACUCAGCACCAGGCUCCUGGUUGGGGAAUACAUAGUCUGAUCCUAAGCAAGUCCUCUUCUCUUCUCAUACCUCUGCACUUUCUGUGCCUGCUCAUGCCAGUUGCCCUCAAUCCUUUGUGCUUUGGAUCUCAGGCUCAGAUUUUCCGGCCCUUGAAGUUCAAUACCACAUCUGUUAUCAAGAUUGCUGUGGAGCCAGUCAACCCCUCAGAGCUGCCCAAGAUGCUUGAUGGCCUGCGUAAGGUCAACAAGAGCUAUCCAUCCCUCACCACCAAGGUGGAGGAGUCUGGCGAGCAUGUGAUCCUGGGCACCGGGGAGCUCUACCUGGACUGUGUGAUGCAUGAUUUGCGGAAGAUGUACUCAGAGAUAGACAUCAAGGUAGCUGACCCAGUUGUCACGUUUUGUGAGACGGUGGUGGAAACAUCCUCCCUCAAGUGCUUUGCUGAAACGCCUAAUAAGAAGAACAAGAUCACCAUGAUUGCUGAGCCUCUUGAGAAGGGCCUGGCAGAGGACAUAGAGAAUGAAGUGGUCCAGAUUACGUGGAACAGGAAGAAGCUGGGAGAGUUCUUCCAGACCAAGUACGAUUGGGAUCUGCUGGCUGCCCGUUCCAUCUGGGCUUUUGGCCCUGAUGCGACCGGCCCCAACAUUCUGGUGGAUGAUACUCUGCCCUCCGAGGUGGACAAGGCUCUUCUUGGUUCAGUGAAGGACAGCAUCGUUCAAGGUUUCCAGUGGGGAACCAGGGAGGGCCCCCUCUGUGAUGAAUGUAAGUCCACCAGCACUCCCCCACCCCAGUCCUCGAGGGUCCUUGCAGCCAGGCAUAUGAGUGGGAUGGGCUCACCAUCUUUAGGACUCAGCAGGAGAAGCAGCUUGGGGUACACAGGACCAUCCCAAGUCCUGGGCCAGCUUCUUCCAUUUUCCUUCCUUAUCCUGGUGGUGUAGCCUGGAAAUUUAAGUCAUUUCUAAACUGUCAUUUGCUCCUCAUUUCUGAGAAGGGUUUGGCAUUGGACGUAUUUGAGAAGAGAUAUCAAGAGGAUGAUGAGAUUGGAGUGGUUUAUAGACCCUGAUUGGGCUUCAUGGACCAAAUGUACAAUUCUGGAAUUUAUUCUACAUCCACAAAAAUGUAAAUAUGUACAGAAGAAGGAAAUAAACUUCUAGGAAAGCUCUAAGUCUGAGCAUGGCCUGAAGCAAACACUAAGAACAUGUGCUUAACUUCUGACCUCUGCUAUGGGCCUUGCUUAUUCAGUUAGAACGCCCACCUCCCAUGUGAUUUCUGUACCAUGUCUUUCAUGACUGCAAGAUAGCUGCAGUGUUGCAGGAGACUGCUACUCCGCCGUGGCCCCAUGACAGGCCCAGAACCUCUCCCCAGUCACUCCCUCCACCUCCUUUACAGUGAUUCGGAAUGUCAAGUUUAAGAUCCUGGAUGCAGUGGUUGCCCAGGAGCCCCUGCACCGGGGCGGGGGCCAGAUCAUCCCCACAGCCAGGAGAGUCGUUUACUCUGCCUUCCUCAUGGCUACUCCUCGUCUGAUGGAGCCUUACUACUUUGUAGAGGUCCAGGCCCCUGCAGAUUGCGUCUCUGCAGUUUAUACCGUCCUGGCCAGGCGCAGGGGGCACGUGACUCAGGAUGCACCCAUCCCAGGCUCCCCUCUGUACACCAUCAAAGCUUUUAUCCCAGCCAUCGACUCUUUUGGCUUUGAGACUGAUCUCCGGACUCACACCCAGGGACAAGCCUUUUCUCUGUCUGUCUUCCACCACUGGCAGAUUGUGCCUGGUGAUCCUCUGGACAAGAGCAUUGUCAUCCGCCCCUUGGAGCCACAGCCAGCUCCUCACCUGGCCCGGGAAUUCAUGAUCAAAACCCGUCGUAGGAAGGGCCUCAGUGAAGAUGUGAGCAUCAGCAAAUUCUUCGAUGAUCCUAUGUUGCUGGAACUUGCCAAACAGGAUGUUGUGCUCAAUUACCCCAUGUGAGUGCAUGGACUCCUGGGAGCUCCUGCUCCCUACAGUGGGCUGCAACUCCUGUACUUGAAGCUGAGACCUCGUAUGACGUGGCCUUCGUGUUGUCAGAGGGUGUCUGGAAGCUGCUGUUGCCAUCUUGAACAACUCACCAACCUCCAACCCAGAGCCCCAGUGAGAGAGGAGCAUUUGGCCUCCUACUUCCUUCUGUGGCCUCUGCCGGGCUCCAUUCCCAAGGAGAAGAGAGGAGCUUGGGCUCACAGAAAGAGAAGGGGAUGAAACCCCAAGGGGCCCUAUCUUUGGGAUUUACAUGGAAUUUUAUUUUCUACAAGUUUGACCUUAGCCAUGGUUUGCAAGUGAACAGAACAUUCUGACCUCUGUCUUGCUCUGCUCCUUUCAUCCUCGUCUCCCCUGCCCGGUCUGGUGCUUACAUUCUGAAUAUAUGUCAUCUCCCAAGAGGCUUCACUGCCUCUGCUUCC
RNAcentral lists this small RNA (3672 nucleotides) under Pongo abelii (Sumatran orangutan). RNAcentral's name for it is "retained intron". Lineage: Eukaryota; Metazoa; Chordata; Mammalia; Primates; Hominidae. The record is from RNAcentral.